AUAGGAACUUCGGCAAUGGACGAAAGUCUGACGAGCACGCCGCGUGAGUGAAGAAGGUUUUCGGAUCGUAAAACUCUGUUGUUUAGAGAAGAACAAGGACGUUAGUAACUGAACGUCCCCUGACGGUAUCUAACCAGAAAGCCACGGCUAACUACGUGCAGGCAGCCGCGGUAAUACGUAGGUGGCAAGCGUUGUCCGGAUUUAUUGGGCGUAAAGCGACGCGCAGGCGGUUUCUUAAGUCUGAUGGAAACGCCCCCGGCUCAACCGGGGAGGGUCAUUGGAAACUGGGAGACUUGAGGCAGAAGAGGAGAGUGGAAUUCCAUGUGUAGCGGUGAAAUGCGUAGAUAUAUGGAGGAACACCAGUGGCGAAGGCGGCUCUCUGGU
Molecule: ribosomal RNA, 384 nt
Filed under: Enterococcus faecalis
Lineage: Bacteria; Bacillati; Bacillota; Bacilli; Lactobacillales; Enterococcaceae
Description: bacterial SSU rRNA
Rfam family: Bacterial small subunit ribosomal RNA
Source: RNAcentral